This 253-nucleotide ribosomal RNA is filed under the name uncultured bacterium. Its description in RNAcentral is "partial 16S ribosomal RNA". It matches the Rfam family "Bacterial small subunit ribosomal RNA", at positions 524 to 776 of the family's 1533-position model. The record is from RNAcentral.
UACGAAGGGGGCUAGCGUUGUUCGGAAUUACUGGGCGUAAAGCGUGCGCAGGCGGCUUCUCAAGUCAGGGGUGAAAGCCCAGAGCUCAACUCUGGAAUUGCCUUUGAGACUGAGUGGCUUGAGUACGAGAGAGGUGAGUGGAAUUCCCAGUGUAGAGGUGAAAUUCGUAGAUAUUGGGAAGAACCCCGGUGGCGAAGGCGGCUCACUGGCUCGUAACUGACGCUCAUGCACGACAGCGUGGGGAUCAAACAGG